AACGCACAUAGCGCCCGCCAGCACUCUGGCGGGCAUGCCCGUCCGAGCGUCGAUUACACCGCUCGAGUCCGCUUCCUGUGGGCUCGGUGUUGGGGCACUAGGGGCGCCGUUACAAGGCACCCUAGGCCCCCAAAGUCAUUGCGCGGCCCCCGCCAUUGGGACCUGAGCACAGUAAACAUCUCACGUUGAGCUGCUCCAGGGCCCGCGCGGCGGUGCCAGCCGUAAAAACCCCCGACACAGGCUCCCCCUUCACCGGGGAAGCCGCCUGAUGUUGACCUCGGAUCGGGUAGGACGACCCGCUGAACUUAA
RNAcentral lists this ribosomal RNA (309 nucleotides) under uncultured fungus. RNAcentral describes it as "eukaryotic LSU rRNA". The record is from RNAcentral. Lineage: Eukaryota; Fungi.